GUGGGGAAUCUUGCGCAAUGGGCGAAAGCCUGACGCAGCCAUGCCGCGUGAAUGAUGAAGGUCUUAGGAUUGUAAAAUUCUUUCACCGGGGACGAUAAUGACGGUACCCGGAGAAGAAGCCCCGGCUAACUUCGUGCCAGCAGCCGCGGUAAUACGAAGGGGGCUAGCGUUGCUCGGAAUUACUGGGCGUAAAGGGCGCGUAGGCGGAUCGUUAAGUCAGGGGUGAAAUCCCAGAGCGCAACUCUGGAGCUGCCCUUGAUACUGGCGAUCUUGAGUUUGAGAGAGGUAUGUGGAACUCCGAGUGUAGAGGUGAAAUUCGUAGAUAUUCGGAAGAACACCAGUGGCGAAGGCGACAUACUGGCUCAUUACUGACGCUGAGGCGCGAAAGCGUGGGGAGCAAACAGGAUUAGAUACCCCAGUAGUCC
Molecule: ribosomal RNA, 425 nt
Filed under: uncultured bacterium
Lineage: Bacteria
Description: partial 16S ribosomal RNA
Rfam family: Bacterial small subunit ribosomal RNA
Source: RNAcentral